This 253-nucleotide ribosomal RNA is filed under the name uncultured bacterium. Its description in RNAcentral is "partial 16S ribosomal RNA". It matches the Rfam family "Bacterial small subunit ribosomal RNA", at positions 524 to 776 of the family's 1533-position model. The record is from RNAcentral.
UACGAGGGGGGCGAGCGUUGUUCGGAAUUAUUGGGCGUAAAGGGUGCGUAGGCGGUUCCGCAAGUCCUGUGUGAAAUCUUCGGGCUCAACUCGAAGUCUGCACGGGAUACUGCGAGGCUUGAGUGCUGUAGAGGGGGGUAGAAUGCCGGGUGUAGCGGUGGAAUGCGUAGAGAUCCGGCAGAAGACCGGUGGCGAAGGCGGCCCCCUGGGCAGUAACUGACACUGAGGCGCGACAGCGUGGGGAGCAAACAGG